GACGAACGCUGGCGGCGUGCUUAACACAUGCAAGUCGAACGAGGAACCCGGAGCUUGCGCUGGGGGAGUAGGGGAGAACGGGUGAGGAACACGUGAGUAACCUGCCCUGGACUCUGGGAUAAGCGUUGGAAACGACGGCUAAUACCGGAUAGGACCUUGGGGCGCAUGAUCUGGGGUGGAAAGUUUAGGCGGUCUGGGAUGGACUCGCGGCCUAUCAGCUUGUUGGUGAGGUAAUUGCUGACGAAGGCGUCGAAGGGUAGGCGGCCUGAGAGGGUGAACGGCCACACUGGGACUGAGAGACGGCCCAGACUCCUCCGGGUGGCAGCAGUGGGGGCUAUUGCGCAUUUGGCGAAAGCCUGAUGCAGCAACGCCGCGUGCGGGAUGUCGGCCUUCGGGGUGUUAGGCUCGUUUAGUACGGAAGACGGGGUUCGGCUUGACGGUACCUGCAGAAGAAGGACCGGCUAACUCCGUG
Molecule: ribosomal RNA, 472 nt
Filed under: uncultured bacterium
Lineage: Bacteria
Description: partial 16S ribosomal RNA
Rfam family: Bacterial small subunit ribosomal RNA
Source: RNAcentral